Pimephales promelas (fathead minnow) is the source of this 943-nucleotide non-coding RNA. NCBI's taxonomy places the organism in Eukaryota, Metazoa, Chordata, Actinopteri, Cypriniformes, Leuciscidae. The record is from RefSeq and is a predicted model, not a curated record.
GUCAAAAGUUAUCAAACCAAUUACUGUACUGGUUAACUAAUGCUCUAGGAUAAGGGAAGUUACACCACAGACUGUUCCAGGGUUUUCUCAUUAAUUGAUGGAAUAGUACGCUAGCCCUUUAAGAAACGCGAUGUGUGACAUUCUGGAAGAAUCGCGAGAUUCUGCUGUGUACAGCGCGUGGUCACAACGUGAUUUGAAGUGCGGCUCAUGCGGUGGAGUGCUGAGGCCAUUAGACGCCGAUGUUACUGUUAAAAUAACAAAAAAAGCACAUAUAGUAACUUGGAAGUCUCUCUUAGUGUGUUGUGAGGAUUGUGUGUUGUGCUGAGGGAACUUUGAAAUUCUGUCGACUCGAGAUGCAUACCUAUGUGGAGAAAUCCGAUCGACAAUAAAUCUCGAAGCAGGGGAGAGGAGUAUUCUUAAGGCCUCCUGAGUGUUUCCAGGCCGAGUGUGAAGCAACAGAAAGGAGAAUUGAGUUCAGCAUUCAAUGUGACAGUGUGUACAUGCUAUAAAGUGUGUUGAUGAACAGUAAGUUUAAUUUGAUUAUUAUAAUAAGAGUCAUUUGAUUAUUUCUUUGUGGAAUAUUAGAAUGUAUUAAUGUUACUGGGAAAUGUAACUUCAUUUUUACAUUUUUCAUGCAUCUUUUAUGUAAGAUAAGCAGCUUUAUUUGGUAUUCUGUGUUGACAAAUCUUGUAACAAUCUGUGUAUGUGUUUUUCAGAAUACGAGUCCACUAUCGUUGUCUAUGUUAAUUAGAUUCCAGUAGUUUAUUUGUUAAUGUGGUGACUGAGAACAGAAAGACAAGAGAGACUAGAGUUGAUAACAAAAUAUCUUUAUUGAUUCCAACCAAUGUAACAAGCUUUCCUGUCUAGUAUCACAUAUUUGCAUAGUUAACGCUGCGCUGUUUCAAGUGCAGUCUGGAAUAAACGAUCCCACAGAUAAUUUAAA